AUGUAAUAAUAAUAAAAAAAAAUAGCAAGUGAAGUACCCCAGAUGAAGCCGUUAAUAUAUUUCAUAUGCAAGCUGUGAGAGACUAGCUUUAUAAUAACUGUGAUAUCCUCCCACCAAAUUUGUCUAUCGUCUGGGUCAUGGUAUAUUUGAUGGUUAAGGGGGGCCCUUUUAUAUGGGUGCCCCUCUCACAGAAUUAUGGGUCUUUUUAAGAAGGCUUAUCAAAUCUGUCCCUCAUAUGCCUUAAAGAUGCAACUCCCUGCUGGGAACCCAAGUCUUUUUCACCAGAAAAAUUAAAGUGGUCUGGGGUUAAAAAAGACUUCUGGGGACCAGAACAUAAAACAUACAGAUUAAUAGAAUUAUAAAAUGUAAGAUGUUUAAACAAGCUCUCUGUGAGGUAGUUGUAACCCCUUUUACCUAAAUGUCUUAUGAAAAUGGAUAGUAUAUCUAACUGUGGAAUGUUUUCCUCUUUCUAGUACUGUAAAGCUGAAGACAUGUAAAUCUGCUCAUGUAAAUCCUCCACUGCAUAGUCUUUUGUUUGGAGCAUUUAUGGGGCUUAUGGUAAAAACCGUGUGUACUUUUCAGUAACAACGACUGAGCUAGAGAAUUUCUACUUCGUGGGGCAUUUACUGCCUUGCUGUGGAAUAUUAACUGGAGCUACCCCUAUACUAAUGGGAAUAAUGUUUUCCAAAAAGUUCCAUGGUAAAAUAAAAAUGGUUUACAUAAAAUCUUGCUAUAUAAUAAGCAGAGAGCCUUUUUCUAGGACUAAUUGUAAGAAGCUGCUAAAUUCUAUAGUGCCAAAUAGCUCUCAUGAGCUGUUUGGUUUGUAAAUGACAUUUCCAAGGUAAACAAACAUCUUGUCUUAAAAGCUGCUGCUCUGGUUAAAAGAGGGUCAAGACAUUUUUUUUUAAGUUAUUUGGAAAAAGUAUGUUUUUGUAAGCAAAUUUACCUUUCUGAGUUCUCCAAAAUUCAGAUUGUGAUUUUAUAACAUUAUAAUUGUCUGCAUUAGUUUAAUGAUAAUUAAAAAAUAAUUGUUUUAAGGGAAAAGUGUGACACUUAAUACUAGAUUUCAGUCCUAACUUUUUAAGUGCAGAUUAAAUUAUUGUUCUUGGCUACAAUAAUCCUCUAGAAAGUACCAGAUUGUAAUUUUUCUUCAUAUUUUUAGUUGGUGCCCUAAUAGAAUAGGGCACCUUUCUAUUUCCUUUUUCUGUUCUAACAUACAAAUUAUUCUAUAAUUGUCAAACUAUAAAUGUUAUUUAUCUCUCCUUGUUUUACUUCCAAGGAAACCAAAAUCAUGGUAUUCUGAAGACCAGAGAUAUGAAUCUCCUUCAUUUGGCAUCCCACCGGCCCCGAUCUGUUUCACUGCUAAUGUUCUGCUGCCAAAACUAUACAAGCUGCCUCACCCCUAGGCCCAGGGACUAUCACAGAAGAGAGCCAAUAAAACUUUUCUUUUGAGUGAUUUGCAGCUUUUAACAAACUGAACCUGCUUAUUUCUGUGAACCAACCAGUGAUCUCUUAUGGCUGUUCAAAAGUAACAAGAGAGAUAUCACCUUUUGUCAUAACUCAAGUCUUAUGAAUGGCCCUCACCAUAAUGAUGCUUUUUGACUGAGCUCUUCUCUAACCUGAAUGCAAGAGGUUAGGCAUGAAUAUCAUCCCCCCUGUUCAGCCUGAAGAAGUUACAGAAGAUGAAUCUUCCACUCUCUACAGCCCUUAGGAUUAAGGGUUCUCUUACUGAAUGUAUUCUUAAACUGAACACUUAUUAAUCUUCCAGAUAUCACCUUUUGUCAUAACUCAAGACUUAUGAAUGGCCCUCACCAUAAUGAUGCUUUUUGACUGAGCUCUUCUCUAACCUGAAUGCAAGAGGUUAGGCAUGAAUAUCAUCCCCCCUGUUCAGCCUGAAGAAGUUACAGAAGAUGAAUCUUCCUCUCUCUACAGCCCUUAGGAUUAAGGGUUCUCUUACUGAAUGUAUUCUUAAACUGAACACUUAUUAAUCUUCCAGAUAUCACCUUUUGUCAUAACUCAAGACUUAUGAAUGGCCCUCACCAUAAUGAUGCUUUUUGACUGAGCUCUUCUCUAACCUGAAUGCAAGAGGUUAGGCAUGAAUAUCAUCCCCCCUGUUCAGCCUGAAGAAGUUACAGAAGAUGAAUCUUCCUCUCUCUACAGCCCUUAGGAUUAAGGGUUCUCUUAUAAAAGGGAGGGGGUAAAUAUGUCAGAGGCAUUUGAACCAGAGAAACUCCAUCUUGAAUAGUCCCUGUGUAAAAUAAGACUGAGACCUACUGGGAUGCAUUCCCAGGAGGUUAGGCAUUCUAAUUCACAGGAUGAGAUAAGAAGUCUCCACAAGAUACAGAUUAUAAAGAUUUGGCUGAUAAAACUGUUUGUGAUAAAGAAGCUGGCCAAAACACACCAAAACCAAGAUGCCAACAAAAGUGUCCUCUGGUUGUCCUCACUGCUCAUUAUAUGCUAAUUAUAAUGCAUUAGCAUGUUAAAAGACACUCCCACCAGUGCAAUGACAAUGUACAAAUGCCUUGGCAACAUCAAGAAGUUACCCUAUAUGGUUUAAAAAUGGUAGGAACCCUCAGUUCUGGGAAUUGCCCACCCCUUUUCUGGAAAACUCAUGAAUAAUCCACCCCUUAUUUAGCAUAUAAUCAAGAAAUAACUGGAAGUAUCCUUAGUGAAGCAGGCCAAGCCACUACUCUUCCUAUGGAGUAGACAUUCUUUCAUUAGUUAACUUUAUUAAUAAACUUGCUUUCACUUUA
RNAcentral lists this long non-coding RNA (2753 nucleotides) under Homo sapiens (human). Its description in RNAcentral is "HSALNT0407714". Lineage: Eukaryota; Metazoa; Chordata; Mammalia; Primates; Hominidae. The record is from RNAcentral.